UACGAAGGGGGCUAGCGUUGUUCGGAAUUACUGGGCGUAAAGGGCGCGUAGGCUGUGCUGUAAGUCAGGCGUGAAAUCCCCGGGCUCAACCUGGGAAUUGCGUUUGAUACUGCGGCGCUUGAAUGCAGGAGAGGAUGGCGGAAUUCCCAGUGUAGAGGUGAAAUUCGUAGAUAUUGGGAAGAACACCGGUGGCGAAGGCGGCCAUCUGGCCUGUUAUUGACGCUGAGGCGCGAAAGCGUGGGGAGCAAACAGG
RNAcentral lists this ribosomal RNA (253 nucleotides) under uncultured bacterium. RNAcentral describes it as "partial 16S ribosomal RNA". It matches the Rfam family "Bacterial small subunit ribosomal RNA", at positions 524 to 776 of the family's 1533-position model. The record is from RNAcentral.